AACACGUGUCCCCUGCAUCGGCAGGCGGACUCUCAACCACUGGGCCACCGGGGAAGCCCAACUUUAUGCUUUUAUAUCUGUCAUUUCUCAUGGGCUUAAUAAAACUUUAUGCUUUUUCAGCUGUGUAAAAGUUUAGAAAAUUGAUUCAUUUUUUUCUUGCUUGAUUCAACUAUGUUAAAGACAGUCAUCGGAGAUGAUGUUAAUUUUUGCCUUUGUGUCUUAUCUUCUUCAGUGUUUUUUAAACUUACCAAACAAGGAACUUCCCUGGUGGUCCAGUGGUAAAGAAUCUGCCUUCCAGCGCAGGGGACGUGGGUUCAAUCCCUGGUCAGGGAACUAAGAUCCUGCAUGCAGUGUGUCAACUAAGCUCUUGCACCUCAAUGAGAGAGCCUGCAUGCUGCAACGAAAGAUCCCACAUGCCUCAGCGAAGACCCUGCAUGCCGCAACUAAGACCCGAUGCAGCCGAAAAAUAACCCCACAAAAAAUUUGCCAAACAAGGACACAGCUGUGUCUCCCCAGAUACUACGACCAGUGACAAAUGUCCCUACUUCCUUGUGAGACGUUGGACCACCUAUGUGGGAUGUGCUAAGAGACCGCGGAACUGGUGUGGCCAGUAUUCACCCCUCGUGUGCUUCAGGUGAGGGGGAAGAGGAGGGAGAAUCAUCAUGGGGGUGGACAGUGAGAAUCCUUUGGAGAAAGAGUUGUCAGUGUGUCUUCCUCGGGGAUGGGGGAGCUGUCUCCCCCAGCGUAGUAAGCCAAAUCGGGGGGCCUUCAGAGUUUCAGGUGGAGGGACUGGUGCCUGUUUUCACAAGAGCUGGCAGAAUGAAGCAAGAAGGCACUGAUGGAGGAGCUGGACUCCCGUGGGUGCAGGAACUAAGGUGUGAACAGCACUCCUGGUCCCUGGGGGACCCAGAGGCAACAGAGGGCACAGUGGAGGAGGCAUAGAAGGAGCGGACUACGGCCCAUGCAUCCCAUUCUCAGCAGUUUUCCUAGCAAGGUAGGUCCCAGUUGGGGGAAGAGAGAAGUUUUAACUGAAUGUGAGUUUGGAGAUUGGCUUUUUGACCAGGCUAGAAUUUUUGCCUAAAAUGACCACAGGACUUUUAUGCUCUGAGGGACUGGAGACUCUCUGAGCCUCAGGUUGGGAUGGAGAAGGUCUGCAUGUGAGUUUUGCAGAGGACAUGCCUUUGGCUCAUUCAACCCUGUACUCUACGGACCCAGAGUAGGACAUAGCUAAACAUCAGUAUGUAGUGUUUAGAAGUGUUUACACUGCUUCCUAAGUAACUAUGCAUGAACUAAUUCUAACAUGAAAGCUUUUGAACACUUACAUUGCAUAUCUGAUUAACACAAUCAAUUCAUACGUGUUCAAGCACUGAACAUUGUUAAGCACCUCAGCUGGAUACUGGGACUAUGAGGGUGAAUAGGAGUUGCUUCCUGUCCUCAGAAGCGUGCAGUCUAGUGUGAGAAGCCCUAGUCCAACCUGGGGCUUUCCUCCUUCUGGCUGUAGAAGAAUCACAGUGCUGUUGGUUUAAAUGUAUCGUCACUCCUAAGUCUGAUUUGGUAGGUCUGUGUUGGGGCCUAAGAAUCUGCAUUUUAACAAGUAUCUUGUUCUAAGACCAC
Aethalodelphis obliquidens (Pacific white-sided dolphin) is the source of this 1614-nucleotide long non-coding RNA. RefSeq lists it as uncharacterized. The record is from RefSeq and is a predicted model, not a curated record. Lineage: Eukaryota; Metazoa; Chordata; Mammalia; Artiodactyla; Delphinidae. The transcript has 3 exons.